GAUGAACGCUGACGGCGUGCCUAAUACAUGCAAGUCGAGCGAACGGACGAGACGCUUGCUUCUCUGAUGUUAGCGGCGGACGGGUGAGUAACACGUGGAUAACCUACCUAUAAGACUGGGAUAACUUCGGGAAACCGGAGCUAAUACCGGAUAAUAUUUUGAACCGCAUGGUUCAAAAGUGAAAGACGGUCUUGCUGUCACUUAUAGAUGGAUCCGCGCUGCAUUAGCUAGUUGGUAAGGUAACGGCUUACCAAGGCAACGAUGCAUAGCCGACCUGAGAGGGUGAUCGGCCACACUGGAACUGAGACACGGUUCAGACUCCUACGGGAGGCAGCAGUAGGGAAUCUUCCGCAAUGGGCGAAAGCCUGACGGAGCAACGCCGCGUGAGUGAUGAAGGUCUUCGGAUCGUAAAACUCUGUUAUUAGGGAAGAACAUAUGUGUAAGUAACUGUGCACAUCUUGACGGUACCUAAUCAGAAAGCCACGGCUAACUACGUG
RNAcentral lists this ribosomal RNA (497 nucleotides) under uncultured bacterium. RNAcentral describes it as "partial 16S ribosomal RNA". It matches the Rfam family "Bacterial small subunit ribosomal RNA", at positions 28 to 507 of the family's 1533-position model. The record is from RNAcentral.